CUGAAAUAAAUUAUGAUAGAUAGACGGAUAGAUGGGGUGUUCUAAGAGAAAGUCGCUUUGAAAAUGCUUUUGUCUUGUAUGGCAGCUUCCUCAAUCAACUGCGUUGAUCGGCUAGAUAAUAAGUUUUUAUAAAAGAAACAUGCCUUUAUGGGACCCAUAACAUUGAAGCAAUACAAAAGUUAGAAAUGAGAGUCAAAUCUGACAAUCGUUAUCUACGCACGAAACGCCCCUUAUUAAAUGAUACUUGAUCGUGACGUCAUGAUUAAGUUUAAUGCGUUUUAUUUGCAUUGCAUUUACAAAAAGAGGAGCUUUCGAGUUUCGAGGAUUAUGUUUUAAAAAUACGUGUAUAUUACGUAGGUUUGUUUGUAUUGAUUUUUUGAUUCUAGAAAUAAUAGUUGUAUAACCUUAAUAUGUAUGUAGGUAAGUACUAAGUACAUAAAAGGUACCGAAAUAGGUCAGAAGAGCAGUAAAUUCAAUAUUACUAUACAGUAUAUCCAAAAAGAGCGCUAUGAUAAGUAAAAGUUCCUUUUUAGGGUUCAGUACCCAAAGGGUAAAACGGGAGCCUAUUACUAAGACUCCGCUGUCAGUACGUCUAUCCGUCUGUCACCAGGCUGUAUCUCGUAAACCGUGAUAGUUAGUUGAUAUUUUCACAGUUGCCGCAAUAACAACAAAUACUAAAAACUACGGUACCCUAGAUGGGCGAGUCCGGCUCGCAUUUGUCUGGUAUUAUUUAAAUAUAGGAGGCAAAUGAGGAAAGCCCAUGAACAGAUGUCGUACCUAUCAUAGGAUAAGUAGAUAUAUAUGUACAAAGAAACAGCGGUAUGUUAAGUAGAUUUUUUAUAUAGUAGGCAAACGAGCAGAGCCCAUGAACAGAGGUCAUACUCUUAUCAUAGAAUUGGUAGAUAUGUACAAAGAAACAGCGCUAUGUUAAGUAGAAUCGAUUUUUUUUAAGUAGGAGCUAAACGAGCAGAACUCAUGAACAGAGUUCGUAUCAUAAGAUUUGUAGAUAUGUACAUAGAAAUGGCGCUAUGUUAAGUAGAAGUAUUUUUUUAAAUAUAGGAGGCAAAUAAGCAGAGCCCAUGAACAGAGGUUGUAUCAUAGGAUAAGUAGAUAUGUACAAAGAAAUGGCACUAUGUUAAGUAGAUUUUUUUUUUUUAAUAUAUGAGGCAAACGAGCAGUGCCCACGAACAGAGCUCGUAUCAGAAGAUUUAUAGAGAUGUACAAAGGAAUGGCGUUAUGUUAAGUAGAAGUAUUUUUUUUUAAAUAUAGGAGGCAAACGAGCAGAACCCAUGAACAGAGCUCAUAUCAUAAGAUUUGUAGAGAUGUACAAAGGAAUGGCGUUAUGUUAAGUAAAAGUAUUUUUUUUAAAUACAGGAGGCAAACGAGCAGAGCCCAUGAACAGAGGUCGUAUCUUAAGAUUUGUAGAUAUGUACAUAGAAAUGGCGCUAUGUUAAGUAGAAGUAUUUUUUUAAAUAUAGGAGGCAAAUGAGCAGAGCCCAUGAACAGAGGUUGUAUCAUAGGAUAAGUAGAUAUGUAGAAAGAAAUGGCACUAUGUUAAGUAGAAUUUAUUUUUUUUAAUAUAGGAGGCAAACGAGCAGAGCCCGCGAACAGAGCUCGUAUCAGAAGAUUUAUAGAGAUGUACAAAGGAAUGGCGUUAUGUUAAGUAGAAGUAUUUUUUUUAAUAUAGGAGGCAAACGAGCAGAACCCAUGAACAGAGCUCAUAUCAUAAGAUUUGUAGAGAUGUACAAAGGAAUGGCGUUAUGUUAAGUAGAAGUAUUUUUUUCAAUACAGGAGGCAAACGAGCAGAGCCCAUGAACAGAGGUCGUAUCAUAAGAUUUGUAGAUAUGUACAUAGAAAUGGCGCUAUGUUAAGUAGAAGUAUAUUUUUAAAUAUAGGAGGCAAAUGAGCAGAGCCCAUGAACAGAGGUUGUAUCAUAGGAUUAGUAGAUAUGUACAAAGAAAUGGCACUAUGUUAAGUAGAUUUUUUUUUAAAAUAUAUGUGGCAAACGAGCAGAGCCCACGAACAGAGCUCGUAUCAGAAGAUUUAUAGAGAUGUACAAAGGAAUGGCGUUAUGUUAAGUAGAAGUAUUUUUUUUUAAAUAUAGGAAGCAAACGAGCAGAACCCAUGUACAGAGCUCAUAUCAUAAGAUUUGUAGAGAUGUACAAAGGAAUGGCGUUAUGUUAAGUAGAAGUAUUUUUUUAAAUACAGGAGGCAAACGAGCAGAGCCCAUGAACAGAGGUCGUAUCAUAACAUUUGUAGAUAUGUACAUAGAAAUGGCGCUAUGUUAAGUAGAAGUAUUUUUUUAAAUAUAGGAGGCAUAAGAUCAGAGCCCAUGAACAGAGGUCGUAUCUUAAGAUUUGUAGAUAUGUACAUAGAAAUGGCGCUAUGUUAAGUAGAAGUAUUUUUUUAAAUAUAGGAGGCAUAAGAUCAGAGCCCACGAACAGAGCUCGUAUCAGAAGAUUUAUAGAGAUGUACAAAGGAAUGGCGUUAUGUUAAGUAGAAGUAUUUUUUUUUAAAUAUAGGAGGCAAACGAGCAGAACCCAUGAACAGAGCUCAUAUCAUAAGAUUUGUAGAGAUGUACAAAGGAAUGGCGUUAUGUUAAGUAGAAGUAUUUUUUUAAAUACAGGAGGCAAACGAGCAGAGCCCAUGAACAGAGGUCGUAUCUUAAGAUUUGUAGAUAUGUACAUAGAAAUGGCGCUAUGUUAAGUAGAAUUUUUUUUUAAUAUAGGAGGCAAACGAGCAGAGCCCACGAACAGAGCUCGUAUCAGAAGAUUUAUAGAGAUGUACAAAAGAAUGGCGUUAUGUUAAGUAGAAGUAUUUUUUUUAUAUAGGAGGCAAACGAGCAGAACCCAUGAACAGAGCUCAUAUCAUAAGAUUUGUAGAGAUGUACAAAGGAAUGGCGUUAUGUUAAGUAGAAGUAUUUUUUUAAAUACAGGAGGCAAACGAGCAGAGCCCAUGAACAGAGGUCGUAUCAUAAGAUUUGUAGAUAUGUACAUAGAAAUGGCGCUAUGUUAAGUAGAAGUAUUUUUUUAAAUAUAGGAGGCAAAUGAGCAGAGCCCAUGAACAGAGGUUGUAUCAUAGGAUAAGUAGAUAUGUACAAAGAAAUGGCACUAUGUUAAGUAGAUUUUUAAAAAAAAUAUAGGUGGCAAACGAGCAGAGCCCACGAACAGAGCUCGUAUCAGAAGAUUUAUAGAGAUGUACAAAGGAAUGGCGUUAUGUUAAGUAGAAGUAUUUUUUUUAAUAUAGGAGGCAAACGAGCAGAACCCAUGAACAGAGCUCAUAUCAUAAGAUUUGUAGAGAUGUACAAAGGAAUGGCGUUAUGUUAAGUAGAAGUAUUUUUUUAAAUACAGGAGGCAAACGAGCAGAGCCCAUGAACAGAGGUCGUAUCAUAACAUUUGUAGAUAUGUACAUAGAAAUGGCGCUAUGUUAAGUAGAAGUAUUUUUUUAAAUAUAGGAGGCAUAAGAUCAGAGCCCAUGAACAGAGGUCGUAUCUUAAGAUUUGUAGAUAUGUACAUAGAAAUGGCGCUAUGUUAAGUAGAAGUAUUUUUUUAAAUAUAGGAGGCAUAAGAUCAGAGCCCAUGAACAGAGCUCGUAUCAGAAGAUUUAUAGAGAUGUACAAAGGAAUGGCGUUAUGUUAAGUAGAAGUAUUUUUUUAAAUAUAGGAGGCAAACGAGCAGAACCCAUGAACAGAGCUCAUAUCAUAAGAUUUGUAGAGAUGUACAAAGGAAUGUAUGACCUAUUAUUCACCUCGUAAAUUAUUUGCAGGUGACUAAAUAAACACCCUGUAUAUAUUUGUUGUUGUAUCAACAAAUCAAGCAUUUACAUUAAAAAAGUGAGUGACAUUUAAUUAAGUGGAACUGCUGAUGAAGACCAGACGGAACACCUCAACUACGCGUAUUUCACGUUUGGCGAUAUCUUCUUCGUUGAGAUUGUUCUGCAAGUUAUUUUUUAAGCUUCAUUUUAGUCAAGAUCUAUUUCUGAUAAUGGAUCCCAGGAAUAAUGGAUGAAACUCUUCAAAUAUUUUACAUAUAGUAUAUUUUUAUAUUUGCAUUUAAACAGUGCUAUUUGGUGAAACGUGUUCAUGAAGAUUAGAAUAUAACUUCUCCUUGACAAGUAUUUUACGAGUUAGGGCUUAGGUAUAUUAUAUGGGCUUACCUAUGGGCUAUUGUUUUUCAUUCAAUAGUUUACAUAUGUGAAAGAGAAAGUAUAACAAUAUGCUUGUUAGACUAAAAUAGCUUUAGUUUUGUUAAUUUCAAAAACUUAGUAGGUGAUAAUUAUAACAUAGGUAUAGAAUCCUCAAAAAUAAAACAGUAGAUACAAAGCAGGUGUUAUUGGCCCGUCUUUAUAUAUAGAAAAUCGAUGGCAUGAUUCCUAGGAACAGAUCUUCGUAUGUGUUAUAGUUUCAAACUUUCCCAUACUGAACGAUCUAAAUAGGCCACCAUGUAUACCCUACGGAACAUUUUAUUUCGUUGGAUGAAUUUAGGGUGUAGGGGAGAAACUACCCAAUUAUGAGCUACUUACUGAAAACUAUCAUUAAUAGACAAUUGUAAGGAUAUUUAACAUUGCCAAAAUAAGGUUAAAGGUGCCCUCUAGUAGUACUUAGUCGAUAUUGUGAUACAAUGAAUGGUAUUAUAAACAUUUUUCUUUUUUCAUAUACUAUGGACAUUCCUCGAUGGCACCAAGCUGCAACUGGAAAGCGAUGAUCACACGGCAAAUAAAAUCGUGAAGACUGUAGCAGCCACGUCUAAGGAGGAUGAAUGUAUCAUGUACAUUCAAUAUUUUUUAUUUAUUGUUUGUUUGAUAUGUAAAAAUGCACGUCAAUAAGGUGGCAAACUAUUAUUAACAGAGACCGGAAUUAUUGUGGCAUUCUUGAACUGUCAUAGAGAGUUCUCAUUUAUCGACUUCGGGUACACAUAUAUCGAUACAACGAAGAACACAAAAUAUUAAAAAGUUAUAAAGUUAAUGGAUAUUUGACUGUAAAAGAAGUAACUGCUUUUUUGCAUUUCUUUUUACUUAUUAAAAAAUAGGUCUAUAGUUAGGGAGUACAAGUCCAGUAAGGGUUGCUAGAUAGCAUCUCUCCAACAACUCUUACUGAGUUUCAACAUAAUUACUUAUAUUUUCAAGAAAUGAGAGGGGUAAAAAAUUAUAACUAACCAUAUUAUUCUCAAAAUGUUGGAUUGUUUUAAGCAUGACAUCAGUGGAAUAUCAUUUUGAGCGCUGGGAUUCGGUGGUUAACAGUCAUAGUCGGUCUUUCGCAUGUAUUGCCGUUAUUCUUUAAAAACGGAUGGGAAAGUUACUUACAUUUUAUUCACAAGAAAUGCAAAGUAAUUUAAUCAUUCAAAUUUUGAAAUAUUUUAUCACCUAGGAAUGUAAAAUUAACGACGACGACGACUUGUGAUGAUUUUGAAGUUUAAAUAUUUUUUGGCGUUGGUGUGGUAAUUAUACAUUAAUUCAUAACGAGUUCAAUUAUUCACAACCAGUGGCAGUAAAUUAAAACACGAUCGAAAGGAGUGUUUUAAAUCGAAACGAGUUGCCAAUUAUCUAUUCGCACAUAUACAACGUUUUACAGUACAUAUGGCACUUUAAAUUUUCGACAUAGGCGCGUAAAGUGCUAAUUAACGCCCUAGUGCGGUAAAGUAGUACCAUAUGUACUAUAAAAAAUGUUGUGUUUCAGUCGUUAGAAAAAAUUGUUUAACCCUCGUGUCUUCAAACCCCCGAAACGCUCAAGAUUUACACUUCUCUAAAAUACAUAACUGUUUUAGCCAACAAUAUUAACUGUUGAACUAUAUUGAAGGCCCGGUUCACAUUGAGUGGCUGCACCACUGUGCACAUACAAAGUUUAUUCUAACUGUAACUUUUUUGACCACAUUAUUUUCAAUAUUUCUCGAUUUUUAGCGAGGUAAAAUUUUUUUGAUGUCAUGUACCAAAUAAUACAAAAAAGGUACUAAAACUGGGAGUAAGCGUCAGGAUGUCAGGACCAUGAUAGCUAUUUAUAUCGUUUUAAAUAGCUAUCAUGGUCCUGACAUCCUGACACUUACGAUACUACAAUACAGUAAGGGCUAUAACCGCGAACCACUUCAUUAGUUCAUCUAUUCGCCUCUCUAUCACUGCGCGAUCUUUCUUUGUGCGAAAGAGAGGCACAUAGGCUUCCCCUUCCCCCUGAUGAAAUUAUGCGUUCCACGUCUUAAUCAUUAAUUUAAGAACAAUAAAACAUACGAAGAGUA
Molecule: long non-coding RNA, 6224 nt
Organism: Cydia pomonella (codling moth)
Lineage: Eukaryota; Metazoa; Arthropoda; Insecta; Lepidoptera; Tortricidae
Exons: 2
Source: RefSeq, a predicted model, not a curated record